Molecule: ribosomal RNA, 505 nt
Filed under: uncultured bacterium
Lineage: Bacteria
Description: partial 16S ribosomal RNA
Rfam family: Bacterial small subunit ribosomal RNA
Source: RNAcentral
GACGAACGCUGGCGGCGUGCCUAAUACAUGCAAGUAGAACGCACAGUUUAUACCGUAGCUUGCUACACCAUAGACUGUGAGUUGCGAACGGGUGAGUAACGCGUAGGUAACCUGCCUGGUAGCGGGGGAUAACUAUUGGAAACGAUAGCUAAUACCGCAUAAUAUUAAUUAUUGCAUGAUAAUUGAUUGAAAGAUGCAACUGCAUCACUACCAGCUGGACCUGCGUUGUAUUAGCUAGUAGGUGAGGUAACGGCUCACCUAGGCGACGAUACAUAGCCGACCUGAAGGGGGGGUCGGCCAACCUGGGACUGAGACACGGCCCAGGCUCCUACGGGAGGCAGCAGGAGGGAAUCUUCGGCAAUGGACGAAAGUCUGACCGAGCAACGCCGCGUGAGUGAAGAAGGUUUUCGGAUCGUAAAGAUCUGUUGUAAGAGAAGAACGGGUGUGAGAGUGGAAAGUUCACACUGUGACGGUAUCUUACCAGAAAGGGACGGCUAACUACGUG